Molecule: non-coding RNA, 24 nt
Filed under: Arabidopsis thaliana (thale cress)
Lineage: Eukaryota; Viridiplantae; Streptophyta; Magnoliopsida; Brassicales; Brassicaceae
Source: RNAcentral
AUGGUACACGCUGCGAAGGGCAAA